Molecule: ribosomal RNA, 728 nt
Filed under: uncultured bacterium
Lineage: Bacteria
Description: bacterial SSU rRNA
Rfam family: Bacterial small subunit ribosomal RNA
Source: RNAcentral
ACUCCUACGGGUGGCUGCAGUGAGGAAUAUUGGACAAUGGGUGGAAGCCUGAUCCAGCCAUCCCGCGUGCAGGAAGACGACCCUAUGGGUUGUAAACUGCUUUUGUAUAGGGAUAAAUCAUCUUACGAGAUAGGAUGUUGAAGGUACUAUACGAAUAAGCAUCGGCUAACUCCGUGCCAGCAGCCGCGGUAAUACGGAGGAUGCGAGCGUUAUCCGGAUUCAUUGGGUUUAAAGGGUCCGUAGGCGGGCUAAUAAGUCAGUGGUGAAAUCUCACAGCUCAACUGUGAAAUUGCCAUUGAUACUGUUAGUCUUGAGUGAGUUUGAUGUUGCUGGAAUGUGUAGUGUAGCGGUGAAAUGCAUAGAUAUUACACGGAACACCGAAUGCGAAGGCAGGUAACAAAGACUUAACUGACGCUGAUGGACGAAGGCGUGGGGAGCGAACAGGAUUAGAUACCCUGGUAGUCCACGCAGUAAACGAUGCUAACUCGUUUUCGGGGUGAAGAACUUCGGAGACCAAGCGAAAGUGAUAAGUUAGCCACCUGGGGAGUACGUUCGCAAGAAUGAAACUCAAAGGAAUUGACGGGGGCCCGCACAAGCGGUGGAGCAUGUGGUUUAAUUCGAUGAUACGCGAGGAACCUUACCAAGGCUUAAAUGCAUUUUGACGUACCCUGAAAGGGGUAUUUCUUCGGACAGGAUGCAAGGUGAUGCAUGGAUGUCGUCAGCUCGUG